AUUGAACGCUGGCGGCAGGCCUAACACAUGCAAGUCGAGCGGAUGAAGGGAGCUUGCUCCUGGAUUCAGCGGCGGACGGGUGAGUAAUGCCUAGGAAUCUGCCUUGUAGUGGGGGAUAACGUCCGGAAACGGGCGCUAAUACCGCAUACGUCCUGAGGGAGAAAGUGGGGGAUCUUCGGACCUCACGCUAUCAGAUGAGCCUAGGUCGGAUUAGCUAGUUGGUGGGGUAAAGGCCUACCAAGGCGACGAUCCGUAACUGGUCUGAGAGGAUGAUCAGUCACACUGGAACUGAGACACGGUCCAGACUCCUACGGGAGGCAGCAGUGGGGAAUAUUGGACAAUGGGCGAAAGCCUGAUCCAGCAAUGCCGCGUGUGUGAAGAAGGUCUUCGGAUUGUAAAGCACUUUAAGUUGGGAGGAAGGGCAGUAAGUUAAUACCUUGCUGUUUUGACGUUACCAACAGAAUAAGCACCGGCUAACUUCGUG
This 484-nucleotide ribosomal RNA is filed under the name uncultured bacterium. Its description in RNAcentral is "partial 16S ribosomal RNA". It matches the Rfam family "Bacterial small subunit ribosomal RNA", at positions 30 to 507 of the family's 1533-position model. The record is from RNAcentral.